This 465-nucleotide ribosomal RNA is filed under the name Vreelandella stevensii. RNAcentral describes it as "partial 16S ribosomal RNA". It matches the Rfam family "Bacterial small subunit ribosomal RNA", at positions 338 to 795 of the family's 1533-position model. Lineage: Bacteria; Pseudomonadati; Pseudomonadota; Gammaproteobacteria; Oceanospirillales; Halomonadaceae. The record is from RNAcentral.
CCUACGGGGGGCAGCAGUGGGGAAUAUUGGACAAUGGGCGAAAGCCUGAUCCAGCCAUGCCGCGUGUGUGAAGAAGGCCUUCGGGUUGUAAAGCACUUUCAGUGGGGAAGAAAGCCUUGGGGCUAAUACCCUCGAGGAAGGACAUCACCCACAGAAGAAGCACCGGCUAACUCCGUGCCAGCAGCCGCGGUAAUACGGAGGGUGCGAGCGUUAAUCGGAAUUACUGGGCGUAAAGCGCGCGUAGGCGGUCUGAUAAGCCGGUUGUGAAAGCCCCGGGCUCAACCUGGGAACGGCAUCCGGAACUGUCAGGCUAGAGUGCAGGAGAGGAAGGUAGAAUUCCCGGUGUAGCGGUGAAAUGCGUAGAGAUCGGGAGGAAUACCAGCGGCGAAGGCGGCCUUCUGGACUGACACUGACGCUGAGGUGCGAAGGCGUGGGUAGCAAACAGGAUUAGAUACCCUAGUAGUC